AGAGUUUGAUCAUGGCUCAGGAUGAACGCUAGCGGCAGGCCUAACACAUGCAAGUCGAGGGGUAACAGGGUGCUUGCACCGCUGACGACCGGCGCACGGGUGCGUAACGCGUAUACAACCUACCUUUUGGAGGGGAAUAGCCCAGGGAAACUUGGAUUAAUGCCCCAUAGUAUGAGAGAAUCUCCUGAUUUUUUCAUUAAACAUUUAUGGCCAUUAGAUGGGUAUGCGUCCUAUUAGUUUGUUGGUAAGGUAACGGCUUACCAAGACUACGAUAGGUAGGGGUCCUGAGAGGGAGAUCCCCCACACUGGUACUGAGACACGGACCAGACUCCUACGGGAGGCAGCAGUGAGGAAUAUUGGACAAUGGGCGAGAGCCUGAUCCAGCCAUGCCGCGUGCAGGAAGACUGCCCUAUGGGUUGUAAACUGCUUUUAUACGGGAAGAACCGCCACUACGUGUAGUGGUUUGACGGUACCGUAAGAAUAAGGAUCGGCUAACUCCGUGCCAGCAGCCGCGGUAAUACGGAGGAUCCAAGCGUUAUCCGGAAUCAUUGGGUUUAAAGGGUCCGUAGGCGGAUAAAUAAGUCAGUGGUGAAAGUCUGCAGCUUAACUGUAGAAUUGCCAUUGAUACUGUUUAUCUUGAGUUAUUAUGAAGUGGUUAGAAUGUGUAGUGUAGCGGUGAAAUGCAUAGAUAUUACACAGAAUACCGAUUGCGAAGGCAGAUCACUAAUAAUACACUGACGCUGAUGGACGAAAGCGUAGGUAGCGAACAGGAUUAGAUACCCUGGUAGUCUACGCCGUAAACGAUGGUUACUAGCUGUUCGGCCCGAUUAAGGGCUGAGUGGUUAAGCGAAAGUGAUAAGUAACCCACCUGGGGAGUACGUUCGCAAGAAUGGAACUCAAAGGAAUUGACGGGGGCCCGCACAAGCGGUGGAGCAUGUGGU
RNAcentral lists this ribosomal RNA (941 nucleotides) under uncultured Salegentibacter sp. RNAcentral's name for it is "bacterial SSU rRNA". It matches the Rfam family "Bacterial small subunit ribosomal RNA", at positions 8 to 945 of the family's 1533-position model. Lineage: Bacteria; Pseudomonadati; Bacteroidota; Flavobacteriia; Flavobacteriales; Flavobacteriaceae. The record is from RNAcentral.